GAGAAGCUUGCUUCUUGGGUGACGAGCGGCGGACGGGUGAGUAACGCGUAGGAAUCUACCUGGUAGUGGGGGAUAGCCCGGGGAAACCCGGAUUAAUACCGCAUACGUCCUAAGGGAGAAAGCAGGGGAUCUUCGGACCUUGCGCUAUCAGAUGAGCCUGCGUGGGAUUAGCUAGUUGGUAGGGUAAAGGCCUACCAAGGCGACGAUCCCUAGCUGGUCUGAGAGGAUGAUCAGCCACACUGGGACUGAGACACGGCCCAGACUCCUACGGGAGGCAGCAGUGGGGAAUAUUGGACAAUGGGGGCAACCCUGAUCCAGCCAUGCCGCGUGUGUGAAGAAGGCCUUCGGGUUGUAAAGCACUUUCAGUGGUGAGGAAGGGGUGAUGGCUAAUAUCCAUCAUCAUUGACGCUAGCCACAGAAGAAGCACCGGCUAACUCCGUGCCAGCAGCCGCG
RNAcentral lists this ribosomal RNA (453 nucleotides) under Gammaproteobacteria bacterium. RNAcentral's name for it is "bacterial SSU rRNA". It matches the Rfam family "Bacterial small subunit ribosomal RNA", at positions 73 to 519 of the family's 1533-position model. The record is from RNAcentral. Lineage: Bacteria; Pseudomonadati; Pseudomonadota; Gammaproteobacteria.